RNAcentral lists this long non-coding RNA (2883 nucleotides) under Sinocyclocheilus grahami. RNAcentral's name for it is "lncRNA (ENSSGRG00000009485.1)". Lineage: Eukaryota; Metazoa; Chordata; Actinopteri; Cypriniformes; Cyprinidae. The record is from RNAcentral.
GCAUGCCUUUGAAAACAUUGAACAAACUUUUUAGUCACUAUUUAUAGAACAGCCACAAGCUUUGUGUCUUUCUACAGAGCUAAAAAGAGAACGUGACACUAACCAAUCAAAAUAUCACACAGGCCUUGAGCUAGAAUAGUGAUUUUAUGUUUGACUGUUUAGGCGAUACAUUAAAGGUUCAGUGGACACCAGUGUUUUAUAUUGUCUUAUGUGAUGCUAACAGCUGAAGAAAUCAGGAUUUCACUGAGCUUGAGUAAUUGGGCGAUGUGUGACAAGAGACUAUUCCUGGUGACAAGCAUGUCUAGUCCUUCACCCGUAUAAAAUCAGAUGGGAAAGCUCUGCAGUUUAUUCAGGCGGAGAAGAUGUUCUACGAAGUGGCAUUGAUCGAGCUCACCUCGCUACAGGCCAGCACAGGGUCUCAGGAAGACGGAACAUUGGGAACGUCAGGAUGUCUGUCUCAAGAGGAGUUAACAGAACAGGCUUCACAGGCCCAGGAUCUUGAGAGACUGGCUCAGCUCUGCAUCAUGAGCAAAAGACCCCACCUUGCUUUAGAAUACAGUGGCAAGGCCACUAAAAUCCACCAGAGGGCUUUUGGUAAUGAUCACCCCAUCACUGCCCGGAGUCUGGAGCUGCUAGCCACUGUCUAUGCAGAGAUCGGCAAAACAGAAUAUACAAAUUCAUUGGGAGAGUGUGUGUCGACUCUUUCCAAAAGGUUCUCAGCCACCGAGUCAUUCAGUGACGCUCUGAGUAGCAUUUCUCAUAGCCAUAAGGAGAGACACUCUGAGCUGCGACACAGAAAAAAGCCAUGCAUACAACAGGAAACUCCAAAAACAAAGGUCAUAAAUGAAAAACUGCCCACCUCUAUUCUGAAAAGGUCCAAUGUGAGCAAUGUGGAGUCAGACUCAUCGCGAAAGCGAAAAACCGAGAGGCGGGUUCGCUUCAGAGAGCCGGAGAUCACUGUUCAUGUCUACGACACUCCCCAGAGCCAUUUGCACCUGGCCCUGCUCACCUGCCUAUUCCUGCUUCUGUCUGCGCUGGGUCUAGCACUGUACUGCACGGACCGCCGGAGACCCCAGCGCGCCUGCGAAGAGCUGCAGACGGCACUGGCUGUGUACCUGCUUCAGUUCAAACAGAUCGUUUGGGCCUGCUGGAUCUGGCUGACCAUGCAAUGACCAUAACUGACCACAGGGGGCAGCAACCAGCAGGAAAAAAAAACAUAAAAGGUCAGGAUGUUUUUUGAAGGACUGUGGAGGAAAUAAAAGAUAAAGGUCCUCGUUUUUUUAUUGCUUUAUUUUCACUGUUAUAAUCAGACUGGCCACCAGUCGAAUUCUCUGAGGAUCUUCAACAUCCACCUUUUUUAUUUUGUGGUUGAUUAAAGGCCAUGUGCUUUUCGCACCAUUAAGGGAUGGUGUGUCUUUUUGCCCUUUAUGGUGGCUAAUGCCUCAUUAUACUGAGCCAUAUAUAUUUAGAUAUUUGUAUGUAGCUCUUUUUCCUUGUAUAGCGGUUCUGGAUGCUGUGUUUUAAAGGAAUAGUUCACCAAAAAUGAUAAUUUGUUGAACAUUCAUUCAUCCUCAGGCCAUCCAAUAUGUAGAUGAGUUUGUUUCUUUAGCUUUACAUCACUUGCUCACCAGUGGAUCCUCUGUAGUAAAUGGGUGCCAUCAGAAUGAGAGUUCAAACAGCUGAUAAAAAUGUCAUAAUGAUUCAAAAGUAUUCCACACAUUUUGUGAAGCAACAAGCUGUGCGUUUGUGAGAAACAAAUCCAUCGUUAAGGCGUUUUAAACUUUAAACCCUUUUACUUGUGAAUUACUGUGAUGUUUUUAUCAGCUCUUUGGACUCUCAUUCUGACGGCACCCAUUCACUGCAGAGGAUCCAUUAGUGAGCAAGUGAUGUAAUGCUAAAUAUCCCCAAAUCUGUUCCGAUGAAGAAACAAACUCAUAAAAAUCUUGAUUAGACUGAGGUUGAGUACAUUUUCAGUACAUUUUUAUUUUUGGCUGAAUGUUUCCUUUUAAAGCAUCUUUUGGUGUACUUGUGCAGCAAUAUUAAUUAAAAACCUUUAGCACUCAGAAUUAUACAAGAGUGUCGAGAGAGGAAACGAAUGAAUGAAUUCCGUCCACAGGUAGAGCCCUACUGAUAUAUUAAUAGGUCAGUAUUAUCAGUUAAAUUAGGCAUGCAAGACAUUGAAUACCUUUACAGGUCUCUAAUAAGCAAUAUGAAUGAGCCACAUGUAACGGUGAGUACAUGCAUAAUAUCAUGUGCAUUGUCACAAAUAGUUACAUUUUAGUGCAGAGAACGCUUAGACACACACACACACACAUCGCAUGUGCUUAUAGAAUGGUUGGCUGGAUCAUUUCCUGCUAGUGCUGUUCUUUGUGUUCAUUUGCUUUAUACAAUAUUUACCUCAAUUUCUGAAAUGAGCCACAUGUAACGGUGAGUACAUGCAUAAUAUCAUGUGCAUUGUCACAAAUAGUUACAUUUUAGUGCAGAGAACGCUUAGACACACACACACACACACAUCGCAUGUGCUUAUAGAAUGGUUGGCUGGAUCAUUUCCUGCUAGUGCUGUUCUUUGUGUUCAUUUGCUUUAUACAAUAUUUACCUCAAUUUCUGAAGCGCUAUUUUUGUCUUAGGAUAUAAAUAUCAAUAUAAGGGCUUUCUGAUUCAAAGAGUGAAUUUAGGAAACUGCUGAAAUAAAUGUACUGUAUUACAAAAAUAAAGACAGGAUUGAGUUGGAAAUAUGUUUAUCCUCAGACACAUCCAAGAAUGGAUUUAUUUUUAUCCAGCUUCAAAACAUCGUAAUAUUUUGAUUUUGGUGCAACCAUAUCCUCUUAUUUGAGUUAAAUAUGAGAUCAAAGACAUGAUCCUCAUUUUUAUUGAGAAUUCUCC